UCUUUUUUGCUUGCGGAGCGGAUUGGCGCUUCGUUACUAUUCAAAGACUGCAAAGAAACAAUUUCCUAACUUCAAUAUCGUAGUCGAUUCAGUGUCGGAUAUCAAGAAAACCAAGUUUCAUCUUUUUUCACGGCUGUAGUUGAAAGUUACAGGAAAUGCAACCUUUAGCAUGAACCAAACAUUGCUUACAAUGUUUGGGUUCACUCAACCCCAAACAGCGCUAACCAUCAUUUGAAGAUGUCCAAAACAACACAAAGGGGUUCACAUCAAGAACUGUGGUACUUCCCAGAACCUGUCUUUUGCAAGAAGCAAGACACAUGCCUAACUGUUGCUGAAAAGUCCACAGUGGGGACAUUCCAAAACUAACUUGGUAAAAUGUUUUAUAUAUGUAAUAGAUGUGUAACAGUAGCAAUUAAAUGCAGACAUGAUGAUAGAUGCAAAUGCAGCCAUAACACUACUGGAAAAAAGAGCUGAAAAAAUUUUCAGGCUUGAACGGGAUUCAAACACACGUCCUUUGCAAUAUGGGUGCAAUGCUUUCCCAACUGAGCUAUCAAAGUCUCAUGAGAGCAGUUGUGUGUGGGUUGGCCCUUUAUGUUCAGUGGACUUAAUACUCGGGCUCAAGUAUGUCAAUUCCAUAGUCAGGGCUCGAGUUUCAGGAAAAAACGUUGGGGUCAGCUGGCCCCUAAGUUUUCAGAGUUAGUUGCCAGCAAAAGUAUAUAAUUCAGUGAAAAGCAUGGAAAGUUAGUCACCAGUGAAAAAAAUUUUGGUCACAUUGGCAACUCCAGCAGUCGUAACGUGGAGCUCUGAUAGUAAUAGGUGUCCAACAAUAGCAAUUAAGUAGACAUGAUGAUAGAUGCAAAUGCAGCCAUAACAGUACUGGAAAAAGACCCGAGGAAAUUUUUGAGCUUGGACAAACUAUAACAUCUCAAUGUUUUGACAUUUUGUCCACAAUGAAAAUAAUAUUUUUUCAGAAAUGCCAACAGACUAAAUAAUGGUUUGGUUUUGUAGUGGACGAAUUUUCCCGGCCAUACUACAAAAGUCUUGACUCACAGGCAAGGUUGUUCAAAAUACUAGCUACCUUGUGGUCAAAAAUUCAUAGAUAAUCAAUUUCCACAAAGAUGAUUAUCAUUAUUAUUUGAAACCUCCCAAGAGUAUUUGAGUAUUUUAAUCUUUGGUCAUAGGCACCAUGCGAUCAUGUUAUUGAAUGAUUUGAGUUUGCAAGUUUUCCGAUGAACUUUGUGUGACUCACAGGGAGGGUUCUUCAAAAAAACUAUAUAUACUCAGCAGUCAGAAAUUCUUUCAGCUUUUCCACCGAAAUGUUCACUCGAACCUGCUGAGAAUGCUUGAUCUCUCUGUAGAAAUACCAAUGGAUUUCCGAACUGUAAUUGACCACAUGACGAAAGUCCGCUACAGGUUGCGUGACAUUGUUGAUACCAACACCUACUGAAUUAUGGCAGAUCUAUUAUUCUACCGUAUUCUGAGAAUUAAAUGAAUUAUUCCAUGGAAUUUCAGACUACCAGGUCUCCAGCUUUUUGUGCACACUUCCCGGCUGCCGGGUAAAAACAAAUAAAAGAAUCAGGAUUCUUUUUAAGACAAAGAGUUACCCUUAGAUAGUUAAUAUUCAAGUUGCUUGUUUGAGUAUCAUCUUUAACUAAUUGCAUGUUAUUUGCCUCAUCUUCCAAGUUCUGCUUACGACGAUUCUUUGAUUUUUCAACAUCUGAGUUGUUCGUCUCAGCAUCAUGAUUUGUUUUCUGUCUGUGUUUUUGUAGUUUGAACUCUUAAAUGGCUCCUCUGUUAUCUUGUGAGAAUGAGUAUGUACUUUGUUUAUCUGGGAGACUGUCAAGCAAUUUAAGUCCUGGGCCAACCCAUUGCGAAAACAAUUGACAUCUUCAUCGGGUCUUUCCCAAACUUUCAUCACAAAUCAC
This 1925-nucleotide long non-coding RNA is filed under the name Orbicella faveolata. Its description in RNAcentral is "uncharacterized LOC110062364". The record is from RNAcentral. Lineage: Eukaryota; Metazoa; Cnidaria; Anthozoa; Scleractinia; Merulinidae.